This 468-nucleotide ribosomal RNA is filed under the name uncultured bacterium. RNAcentral describes it as "partial 16S ribosomal RNA". It matches the Rfam family "Bacterial small subunit ribosomal RNA", at positions 28 to 507 of the family's 1533-position model. The record is from RNAcentral.
GACGAACGCUGGCGGCGUGCUUAACACAUGCAAGUCGAACGGAAAGGCCCUGCUUUUGUGGGGUGCUCGAGUGGCGAACGGGUGAGUAACACGUGAGUAACCUGCCCUUGACUUUGGGAUAACUUCAGGAAACUGGGGCUAAUACCGGAUAGGAGCUCCUGCUGCAUGGUGGGGGUUGGAAAGUUUCGGCGGUUGGGGAUGGACUCGCGGCUUAUCAGCUUGUUGGUGGGGUAGUGGCUUACCAAGGCUUUGACGGGUAGCCGGCCUGAGAGGGUGACCAGCCACAUUGGGACUGAGAUACGGCCCAGACUCCUACGGGAGGCAGCAGUGGGGAAUAUUGCACAAUGGGCGGAAGCCUGAUGCAGCAACGCCGCGUGCGGGAUGACGGCCUUCGGGCUGUAAACCGCUUUCGCCUGUGACGAAGCGUGAGUGACGGUAAUGGGUAAAGAAGCACCGGCUAACUACGUG